RNAcentral lists this long non-coding RNA (889 nucleotides) under Malus domestica (apple). RNAcentral's name for it is "long non-coding RNA (MDOM_LNC003945)". Lineage: Eukaryota; Viridiplantae; Streptophyta; Magnoliopsida; Rosales; Rosaceae. The record is from RNAcentral.
CGAAACUAGUUUCAAUGAUCCAACCGUCAAACAUGUUUGUAUAUACUUCGAGAUCGCAUACGCCAAAAAUUGAAAAAAACAAACAUUCAGAGAUCAAGUAACGGGACAAAACUUUUCGACGGUUAUAAAACGAAAAAUCACGAUUUAACGGUUAUUUUAACUCCGAUUUUGAUGAUUUUUUACAACUACACUCCUUGACCUUAUAUGAAUACAAUGAUUGAAUUCGAUCUUCAAUUUUAAAAUAUUUACACUAGUGGAUACCACAAAAUCUUAUGUUAUACUUAAUAAAAGUAUGAAUAAACUCUUAAGUAUUAGUGAAUCUAUUGUUUUUUAUGGGAUACUCAUUCUACGAAACUAGUUUCAACGAUCCAACCGUCAAACAUGUUUGUAUAUGCUUUGAGAUCACAUACGCCAAAAAUUGAAAAAAACAAACAUUAAGAGAUCAUGUAACGGGACAAAACUUUUCAACAGUUAUAAAACGAAAAAUCACGAUUUAACUGUUAUUUUAACUCCGAUUUUGAUGAUUUUUUACAGCUACAUUCCUUGACCCUAUAUGAAUACAAUGAAUGAACUCGAUCUUGAAUUUAAAAUAUUUACAAUAGUGGAUACCAUAAAAUCUUAUGUUAUACUUAAUGAAAGUAUGAAUAAACUUUUAAGUGUUAGUGAAUCUAUAUAUUAAAUUAAAUUUAAAAAUUUGACUAGUACUGUAUGAAUGUUUUUUUUAUUAAGCUCUUAUUUUCGAGUGUAGAUGUAGUACUUAAAAGAUAAAUGUGUUUUAAUGUUUUGAAGUAAUAUUUAUGUGGCAAUGUGUGGUAUGUGCAAAUUUAAGAAAAAAAUAUAUUUUUCUUAACGGGUCUUAACGGGUCAUAACGGGUCGGGUCACUUUACC